CUGUUUAGUCUUGUUGCAUGCAGACUUAGCUCUUUCUCUCUCUCAUCUCUUUAGCUGUGUGUUUUAUGGGCUUUCUUCCCAAGGAGAAAUCUCUUGUGCCUUUAUUACACUUGGCAGCUCGCUGCUUCCUCUCUUUGGAAAGCAAGCUUGCUACUUGUGGCUCUUUCUUAAAGCUUGGUGGCUGACUUUACAGCUCACUUCUCUGCUGCUAAGUAGAACAUGAAUUUCAACUUCCUUCUACCCUUCAAAAUUCCAGAUGAUACUGUAAUGCUGCUUUAUCUGGGGUUUCUCAGCAGUCAAGGGAUGAGGUAAUGUUUCAGGGUGUGCAUUUGUUCUGCAGCCUUUGCUUUGUCAUUAAUAUAUCAGUCAGAUAUUUCAGAACUCUCAGUUUGUGCCUGUUUCGGGCUUUGUGGUCAUACUCUAGCUAGCUGUGUUGUAGAAAACGAAUCCAUAGCAGAAGAGAAGCAAUUCUUGUUAUGAAGACACUGUGACAAUCUAGAUAAGAACAGCUGCAAGUGUGUCAGGACAAAACAAAACCUCAUCACUGCCAACUGAUGACGCCUCUCUGACACUACAGAUCUGGGGAAAUUCUGGUGCUUGGCUAUACUUCAGCUACUUCCUGUGAUACUCCUGAAAUGAAAACUUUCUGCUCAUUGAAAAAGAGCACUGGAUGGAAAGGCAGCAGGUUUUAAUACGGAAACUUUGAUGAUGUGGCUUCUGCAUUUCCAUGUUGGAAACAAGGCUGACUGCAUGUUUCUAUGAUCACAGAAUCACAGAAGAUGCUGAGUUGGAAGGGACCCAUCAGGAUCAUUGAGUCCAACUCCUGGCCCUGACCCCAAGAAUCACACCCUGCGCCUGAGUGUGUUAUUCAAACACUUCUUGAAACCAGACAGGCUUGGUGCUGUGACCACUUCCUUGGGAAGCCUGUUUCAGUGCUCAGCCAAUUUUGGAUGGACAACUUUUUCCUGAUAUCAAACCUAAAUCUCCCCUGACUCAGCUUCAUGAUUUUUCCUCAAGUCCUGUCCCUGGUCACAAGAGUGAAGAGAUCGACACUUGUCCCUUUGCUUCCCCUCAUGAGGAUGUUGAAGACCACAAUGAGGUCUCCCAGUCUCCUCCAGACUGAACAAACCAAGAAAAUGGAUGAAAUUCACAUUCUGGGGAAAGCUGAAGACAGAGGUCAGAUUUUUUUUUUU
This is a non-coding RNA of Zonotrichia albicollis (white-throated sparrow), 1193 nucleotides long. Lineage: Eukaryota; Metazoa; Chordata; Aves; Passeriformes; Passerellidae. The record is from RefSeq and is a predicted model, not a curated record.